GACGAACGCUGGCGGCGUGCUUAACACAUGCAAGUCGAACGGAGUGGCGAACGGGUGAGUAACACGUAGGUGAUCUGGCCUGCACUUCGGGAUAAGCUUGGGGAACUGGGUCUAAUACCGGCAAGGGCAAGAGGAGCUCGCGGACUAUCAGCUUGUUGGUGGGGUAAUGGCCUACCAAGGCGUCGACGGGUAGCCGCCCUGAGAGGGGGUACGGCCACAGUGGGACGGGGGUACGGCGCAGACGCCUACGGGAGGCAGCGGUGUGGAAUAUUGCACAAUGGUCGGAAGCCUGAUGCAGCGACGCCGCGUGGGGUAUGAAGGCUUUCGGGUUGUAAACUCCUUUCGACAGGGACGCGGUACCUGUAUAAGAAGCACCGGCUAACUACGUGCCAGCCGCCGCGGUAAUUC
Molecule: ribosomal RNA, 408 nt
Filed under: uncultured bacterium
Lineage: Bacteria
Description: partial 16S ribosomal RNA
Rfam family: Bacterial small subunit ribosomal RNA
Source: RNAcentral